RNAcentral lists this unclassified non-coding RNA (2481 nucleotides) under Dendronephthya gigantea. RNAcentral's name for it is "ankyrin repeat domain-containing protein 13B-like, transcript variant X2". Lineage: Eukaryota; Metazoa; Cnidaria; Anthozoa; Malacalcyonacea; Nephtheidae. The record is from RNAcentral.
UUCAAAAUGGCCGAAAAACAGUGGCAAGUUGUAAACAAACAUGAUAUCAUGAAGAAAUGGCCUUUACAUUGCCUUGUUUUUGAAGACAAACCCGCACAGCUGAAAGAUAUUUUGAAGGAGAACAAGGUUGAUGUUGAGAGGCUGGAUCCUUGUGGUAGGACAGCAUUGCAUGUCGCUGUGACAUUGGGUCGGACAGAAUGUGUCAAAAUAUUGCUGGAUCAUGGCGUAGAUGCCAACGCAGUAAACAAACAAGGAUGGAAUGUUUGCCAAGAAGCAGUGAGCAGCGGGGAUCCAGAAAUACUUUCCCUUGUGUUCACACAGCGAGAUUUCCAGAGAGCAACUCAACGCCUUGAUGGGAUACCUGAGCUUCUUGAGGACCUAAAUGCUGCUCCAGAUUUUUAUAUUGAGAUGAAAUGGGAAUUUACAACCUGGGUUCCUUUUAUGUCAAAAAUGUGUCCCAAUGAUACUUACAAAAUAUACAAGCAGGGAUGUAAUGUCAGAGUAGACACAACAUUGAUUGGUUUUGAUCAAAAUAUCGUCAACUGGGAACGAGGCAACAUGAGCUUCAUCUUCAAGGGUGCAGCUGAAGGUGCUGAGUUUUUCGAAAUUAACCAUGACCGAAAAUUGUUUACAAAGGAAAAGCUUCAAAUGAGAGAGGAAAACAGAGAGACAAGCGUAUUUGAGACCGCACAAGAUGCAAUCAACACCAGAAUGAGUUCCCCAAAUAUCUCGACGAUUUUAGACACAGAUUCGAUCGCUUUUACCAAACAUAAGACGAUGUGGGGCUGGGGAGGAGAUAAAACAGAGACAAUUGAGGAUCACGAGGGGAAGAUGUAUGACGCUACGGGGAUUGAUGUGGUCACGAGGAUACGAUUUGAACAUUUAACCGAGGAAGAGAAGAAAUCAGAGAAAUCCAGAGUUUCUAGUUCAGGAAGUGGUUUGCAAAGCGUCUUAUCGGGCGAACAACAAGAAACAAUCUGUGACUUAGAGGAUCCUGAUAUCGUGGAUCAAUAUUCACUUAAUCCGUACGGCCUUUCCGUUGAAGAGUAUUUCAACUUGCGGUUGAACAAAUCGAAAAAAGAUAUAGGCCGCCCAAAAGACAUGAUAAGUAAGACACAAAAGUUCAAAGCAACGUUGUGUUUAUGUCCGACCUAUCCCCUGUCAUUGCAACAGCAAGUUCUUCCUGUAAUAAAGCUACUUGCGAUCAGUAAUUCGCAUUUUGCGAAGCUUCGAGAUUUUGUUGCUCUUCAUCUACCGUCUGGAUUUCCACUAAAAAUAGAAAUUCCGGUAUUUCAUUUUCUUAAUGCCCGCAUCACGUUUGGUAAUAUAAACGCCAUCGCUGCCCCGGUUCCAGGCGUGACGUCACAUGUGACGUCAGAACCAAGCCCUGAGGAAGACCUUGCAGAUGAUGAAACUAGGGUCACGUGUGCGAUUGACGCGGAUCGCUUUUUGCCCCCCACAGAUUACGUUGACCGAAGUAGGGUGGAACAAUAUUCAGGUCAGCAUAUUCAAAAUGACGAAGAGCUGUUGAUUCAAUUGGCGAUACAACAGAGUUUAGCCGACUCGGGCGGCACCGGUGAUGCGCGCCAAAAUUCCUGGGGACAGAGAACACAUCUCUCUAACAGUGAAGAAGACUUGCAAAGGGCAAUACGUGAAAGUCUUGCAGCAUCAGAUCAAGGAACGAGUGAUUCGACACCAGCGAAAAGGAUGGACGAAAAUCCAGGCUCUUACGACGAACAACUGCAGAUUGCUUUAGCAAUGUCUGUACAAGAUGUCAUCUCGAAAUCUCAAGAACAGAGGAAUGAAGAUGAUGAAUUAAAAAGGAUUUUGAAAUUGUCUCUUACAGAGAAAUAAGCGUAUAGUAUUAUAUAUCAAUACUGGGAUAAUUUAAGACGUAAAUUAUUUAUGUCCUUUAGAGACCCUACCCAGAUCAUUGGCGCAGGUUUUCUAAAAGAUGACACUUUUCUCUAUCAGAUUUUGCCUUGAUUUGUGACAGAUAUAUUGUGCAUUCUAAUAUCUCUGGUAUCUGAAAAAGUAUUUUAUUUAAAGAGAAUAAUAUGAUUGAAUAUGCUGUAUUUUUGGAAUAUGCGCAAUAUAGAAGUAUUACGGACGUGUUUAUGUCAGGGGAUUUAAAUUUUAGAACUUUUACUGCAUGCUUUCUGAUUGGUGUAAUUCCCUCAAACUGACCAAUCAUGUUCACGAAUGACCUCUCCUGCAACUUUGCGCUACAUCUGAAAGUCGCAAAGUUGGAAAAAAAUAUGGUUGCAUGUGCUGGAGGAAAAUGUUUUACUUAAUUUUGAUAUUUCAAUACAUUUUUGGUAGAAUCGUCGUUGGAAAUCCUCGAAAUAUAAUUGUUCUGCCAAAAUGACAGCGCAAACGUAAAUCCCAUAUUCCAAGAGAUUGCGUCGUAUGUACUAGCAUCAUCAGGCAGUUAUCGCCGUCAAUAGUAAGGUUCAUUAUUUCUCCAACUACAUGCAAGUG